Molecule: ribosomal RNA, 441 nt
Filed under: uncultured bacterium
Lineage: Bacteria
Description: partial 16S ribosomal RNA
Rfam family: Bacterial small subunit ribosomal RNA
Source: RNAcentral
CCUACGGGUGGCAGCAGUGGGGAAUAUUGCGCAAUGGGGGCAACCCUGACGCAGCAACGCCGCGUGAUUGAAGAAGGCCUUCGGGUUGUAAAGAUCUUUAAUCGGGGACGAAUUUUGACGGUACCCGAAGAAUAAGCUCCGGCUAACUACGUGCCAGCAGCCGCGGUCAUACGUAGGGAGCAAGCGUUAUCCGGAUUUACUGGGUGUAAAGGGUGCGGAGGUGGUUUGGUAAGUUGGCGGUGUAAUUCCGGGGCUCAACCUCGGCGCUACCGCCAAAACUAUUAGACGAGAGUGCAGGAGGGGUAGGUGGAAGUCCUGGUGUAGCGGUGGAAUGCGUAGAUAUUAGGAAGAACAUCAGGGGCGAAGGCGACUUACUGGACUGUAACUGACACUGAGGCACGAAAGCGUGGGGAGCAAACAGGAUUAGAUACCCUUGUAGUC